Molecule: long non-coding RNA, 1491 nt
Organism: Acanthopagrus latus (yellowfin seabream)
Lineage: Eukaryota; Metazoa; Chordata; Actinopteri; Spariformes; Sparidae
Exons: 5
Source: RefSeq, a predicted model, not a curated record
GUCUGCGUUGCGCUGUACUCGGCUGUAGCGCUGCGUCGUGCUCAUCACGGCAGGUGGAGAGGUGAGCUAGCAGGCCAACUAACUCCCUGCAAGAGAAAAGCUAACAGCUGCUAGCUUGUUUGGUCUUGUACCUGUAGUGUGUGUUCAGGUACAGGAAGCUGCCGUUUUUCACCGUGUAGGGUGCUAGCCUGGAGGUUGUUGUGAGCGCUUCACACACAGACGUGGGGACGUUCAUACCCACAUCCGGGCUCUGCUUCGCUCUGGGCUGUAGGAGGCACCGUGUUUGUUCUCACAGAUGAGUCCCACAGAGAGAGUUAUUGGGCACCGGCCUCGUGGCGAAAAGGAAGAUUAGGGCCUGUCUGAGAUGGGAAGCUGGCUCCAGGCCCCCCAAUAAGCUGCAGGCCAGGGGCCACUCCAGUGAGAGGGAGAUGGAUGGAGAGGAAAGGAGCUUGCUGUGGCUAUGUGUGCCAAGCCACACUGGCAGUAAAGAACCACGCUCUGCUGGAGAUGUACUGUCUGCCCCGUUUGACCUCUGUUGACUUCAUCACCGGGGAGUUAUGAAAGCCCUGUGAGUAGCGGCCCUGUUCUCUGCCUGCACUUGUGCGAGCUGAAACGCCUUCAGACAGGUGCUGCAGAGUGUGCCUCACUGCACCGAAAAACAGCUGGGGCCGGUCAUCAGCGCUCACUGGAGAUGACAUCACCUGACAAGUGUUCAUCUGACUCAUCUCCCGCUCUCUGGCUCCAUCUCGGGCCCCUGACACAUGCUUCACCUCGGAGGCACUCGCACAGGAAACCGGGGGGCCGGACAGGACGGGUAGCUGCGGGCUUUAAGUUCAGUCAUGCUCGUGCGUCGUGCCAAGAAAAGGGGUGAGAGUGCUCAGUUUCCAUUUGGGAUUCAGCUGCAUGAAGAUGAAUGGACGGAUGAUCUGAUUCUUGUGGACCUAGGUGACUCCUGCCCCGGCUUCGGUUACACAGUCUCCGCCCUCGCCCCCUCACUCCCAUUCUGGUUAUCCUGUCUGUGACACCGUAAUGAUGACAAAGACUAACAAGUAAACAGCAGCAUCCAGCACCACAGAGGACCCUUUUAUGGCGCAAUGAAAGUGAGGGAUGAAGCGCGGUUGUCAUCCAGGAGAGCUCCAGCAAAUCACAGCGCAACGGCGAAACAGUCGGGGCGGCAGAGUGGAGAUGACCGUGGCGGGCGCUGGCAUUGAGUUGAGCUGUUUGUCAACAAUCAGUCGAUCUGUCAGUGUAAUGCAGCGCAACAAAUCAGCUCAGCCACCAGUCUCUGUCCGCAGCAAAGUGCUGGGGGAAAAAAAAAAAGAAAAAGAAAAAAAGAACUGUGUCACCGCUGCUGGAAGCUGAGUGCACACUCACAUACCUUAGUAUGACUUGGUGUUACUAAUGAGGAGCUGAUCCUGCUUUAAAGUGGUGUCAGAUUUACAGUUUUAACAAGUUUUCCACUUUGAAGUGCCACAUUAAAACCUCAUUAAG